GCCGGCGCCGCUUCACCUGCCGGAGCGGGAGGCCACCGAGGCGAGGCCGAGGCGGCGGCGCGCUCGGCGGCGCCUCCGGGUCCUAGAACCGCAUCCUCCCGCUCGCCUCGGGCGAGGGAUUGGCCGGGUCUGGGUGAAGGGGAUCACGGCCUGGGGAUUGGAGGGGCACAUCUUCUCCGCACCGAGGAUCUCAGCGACUGCGAGCACGGCUCGGAGACCCACGGUGGUGCAGCGUUGGGGCGCCAGGGCUGCGUUCCCGUCUCGCGUCCCGGACUGAGAAGGUGGGAACCCCCUUCCAGGCCCCCCACCUUUUAUUUCUCUCCUCCCCUGCUUAGCCCAGAGACGAGCUGAGGACGAGGGGGAGCCAUCUCCAAACAGGAACUCCUAAACAGGGUGGGGGGCGCGGACGCAGGCCAGUGGAGACCCCCGCCACCUGUCCCACCUCGACCAACCGUGCGCCUGUGCAGGGCACCCCUACAGGUUUUAGAAUGGGGGCACCUAUGGAAUAUGGCAGGCUGCGAGAAGCUGGGCCCGCCAAGGUGGUCCCAAGGAGGAGUGGGGGGUUGCGGAAAGGAGGAUGAGAGCCAGCCACAAGGCUGGAAAAGGAGUGGGCACCGCAGAGGAGGGAAAAAGAAUCUUGACACUGUCACCGCCAGGGAUCUAGGGGGGCCUCUUACCUUGGAGAAUAACAAUCUCUGAUGUCUGCUAAUUACAGAAAUACUUUCAGAGCUCUUUCAUUCAUCCUGACAAUGGCCAGAGAAGGUAGGUAUUGGUAGCCUUAUUUUAGAGAUGGGGAAACUGAGGCUGAGAGUAGGUAAGUAAGCUGUCCAAGGGCACUCAGCUAACAAAGGACAGAAGCAAGCCUCCUCACUGUCUACCUCCAAAACCUACACUGGCUUGGAGUUGCUGUCCUGGCCCUCCACUGCCCAUCUCAUGUAGGACGGGAGAGUAUGGGGGGCUGGGGUCCCAUCUAUAGCCUGAAUUUGAGACUUUCAGUUGCUCCUCUCAUUCCCCAUUUAAUUUGUGGGGAUCCCCAACUGACCCCUCCCUACACUUCCAGGGCACUGAGGAGGGAGGGCCCGCUGAAGGAGCCCCGAAUUAUCUCUAGGCCAGGUCAGGAGCCAUUAGUGUCCCCUCCCCUGACAGCAUCCUCCUCCUUCUGCCCUCACAUUCAGAGCCACUGACAAGACUUUAAGCAAGAGACGGAGAGUUAACAUCUAAUCUGGAGGAAGACCCUGGAAGGAGCCAGCCCCUUCCCCCAGGCUGACCUGGUUUAAGCCUUUCUUCUGCCAAGGUCACCAGCACCCCAGAUGGGUGAGAGAUGUGAUCACUGGUUUCGUGGCCUGACCAAGGACCUCCAAGGUGAGUCAAAGCAGAAUUCUCCUUGGGCAUGCAGGGAAAAUGAUCCAUUCCCUGCACACUGCCAUAUUCUCCUUCUCAGACAGACCAGAGCCUUGCCCUUGGGUCCUUGCCCUUGAGAUUAGCUAGGACCUCCUCCUCUUCUUCUCCUUCUUUCUUCUUCUUCUUGUCUCUAUAAGAUAACUGUCGUGGAAGACUUUUUUUUUUCUUUUAAGAUGGAGUCUCUCGCUGUUGCCCAGGCUGGAGUGCAGUGGCUCGGUCUCAGCUCACUGCAACCUCCACCUCCCAGGUCCAAGCAAUUAUCCAGUCUCAGCCUCCUCAGUAGCUGGGACCACAGGUGCGUGCCACCACACCCAGCUCAUUUUUGUAUUUUUAGUAGAGACGGGGUUUUGCUAUGUUGACCAAGCUGGUCUCGAACUCCUGACCUCAAGUGAUCCGCCUGCCUCGGCCUCCCAAAGUGCUGGGAUUACAGGCAUGAGGCACCCCGUCCAGCCUGGAAGACUUUUUUUUUUAAUGAAUAAAAACACAUUUUUUUAAAGAAUGGAUUCCCUGAUUCCUCAAUGGCUGUCUCUUUCAAUUGAACAAUAAACCUUUACUUAGCAUCAGCUACAUGCCCAUCACUGUGCUUGGUCCUGCAGAUUCUGUGGCAGAUGAGAAAUGCCUUGGUCCUUGGGCUGCUUGCAGCCUAGCGAGGGACAGACUUUUAACCUCUCUAGGAGAGUGGCUGCUUCAAGUCAUCCUAUGGGACCAGCUGUUCAUGCUUCCUCUUGCCCAGAACUACUUCUGUGAGAGGAAAAGAGAAGGGUAGGAGCGUGCCCUGCAGCUGGAAACCCAAGCCAGGCGGGGAGCCACGAAUGCAGUAGUUAUCAGACUGUAUCUUCAAUCCUGGGGGCUUCUCAAGCCAUUGCCAGCCACUCUUCACCCAAGGCCUGGUGGAAUAAAGCUGGGCUAAGUAACACCUCUUCUGUGGAAAAUUAUUGUUUCUGCAAGCCUAUAUUCAUUCUCCCUCUCUCUCAUGCUGAUCAGAACUGUGAGUUACAAAAAAAAUGAGAAGAUGGAAUCAAUUAUUACGUAGUAAAUUUCAUUUGCUUGGCAGGAGGUAUCUUUCCCAUCUUGGCCCACAGAGGAGGAAAUCCUAGAAGGGAUGACUGAAGCUUGGGACUAACACAUUGGUGGAUCUGUGCUACCCCCUGCUGGCCGUAGACGGUAUGACAGCCAAGAUAGGGCAAGGCUUCGAGGGGCGAUGGAUGGAUUCACCGCAGCGGCGACAUUUCUGGACUGUUGUCACCUUCAGUGCAGUCACUGGGAAUAUUCAGAACCCAGGUGAUUGAUAAGGUUUUCCCAGGGAUCUCUUCUCUCCCCUUCACCAUUACUCAGUAGGAGCUUCCUUAAAAACGGAAAACGAGAGGCCGGGCGCGGUGGCUCACGCCUGUAAUCCCAGCACUUUGGGAGGCGGAGGCGGGCGGAUCACGAGGUCAGGAGAUCGAGACCAUCCUGGCUAACACAACCCCGUCUCUACUUAAAAUACAAAAAAUUAGCCGGGCGUGGUGGCACGCGCCUGUAGUUCCAGCUACUCAGGAGGCUGAGGCAGGAGAAUCGCUUGAACCCGGGAGGCAGAGGAGGUUGCAGUGAGCUGAGAUGGCGCCACUGCACUCCAGCCUGGCCGACUGAGACUCCAUCUCAAAAAAAAAAAAAAAAAAAGGAAAAAGGGGCCGGGCGCGGUGGCUCACGUCUAUAAUCCUAGCACUUUGGGAGACCAAGGCGGGCAGAUCACGAGGUCAGGAAUUUGAGACUAGUGUGGCCAACAUGGUGAAACCCCAUCUCUACUAAAAAUACAAAAAAUUAGCCGGGUGUGGUGGCGCAUGCCUGUAAUCCUAGCUACUCGGGAGGCCGAGGCAGGAGAAUCGCUUGAACCCAGGAGGCCGAGGUUGCAGUGAGCCGAGAUUGUGCCACUGCACUCCAGCCUGGGUGACACAGUGAGACUCCAUCUAAAAAAACAAAAACAAAAACAAAACAAAACAGGCCAGGCACCGUGGCUCACACCUGUAAUCCCAGCACUUUGGGAGGCCAAGGCGGGAGGAUCACGAGGUCAGGAGAUCGAGACCAUUCUGGCUAACAUGGUGAAACCCUGUCUAUACUAAAAAUACAAAAACAAAAUUAGCCGGGCGUGGUGGCGGGUACCUGUAGUCCCAGCUACUCGGGAGGCUGAGGCGGGAGAAUGGCGUGAACCCAGGAGGCGGAGCUUGCAGUGAGCCGAGAUUGUG
This 3623-nucleotide long non-coding RNA is filed under the name Homo sapiens (human). RNAcentral describes it as "HSALNT0390101". The stretch from base 3205 to 3352 matches the Rfam family "Metazoan signal recognition particle RNA". The record is from RNAcentral. Lineage: Eukaryota; Metazoa; Chordata; Mammalia; Primates; Hominidae.